This 156-nucleotide unclassified non-coding RNA is filed under the name uncultured fungus. RNAcentral's name for it is "sequence contains ITS1, 5.8S rRNA gene". Lineage: Eukaryota; Fungi. The record is from RNAcentral.
CCGAGUUUACAACUCCCAAACCCACUGUGAACCUUACCUAUCGUUGCUUCGGCGGGAUCGCCCUGGCGCCUCGCGGCACCAGAUCUCAGGCGCCCGCCGGGGGCCCGAAACUCUUGUUUUCAGUGGUACUCUGAGCAUACAAAACAAAAUGAAUCA